Molecule: ribosomal RNA, 292 nt
Filed under: uncultured bacterium
Lineage: Bacteria
Description: partial 16S ribosomal RNA
Rfam family: Bacterial small subunit ribosomal RNA
Source: RNAcentral
GUGUCAGCAGCCGCGGUAAUACGAAGGAUGCGAGCGUUAUCCGGAUUUAUUGGGUUUAAAGGGUGCGUAGGCGGCCUUAUAAGUCAGUGGUGAAAUCCUAUCGCUUAACGAUAGACGUGCCAUUGAUACUGUAGGGCUUGAGUACAGAUGCCGUUGGCGGAAUGUGUCAUGUAGCGGUGAAAUGCAUAGAUAUGACACAGAACACCGAUUGCGAAGGCAGCUGACGAAACUGUAACUGACGCUGAGGCACGAAAGCGUGGGGAUCAAACAGGAUUAGAUACCCGCGUAGUCC